GUGGUCCGUUUUGAGAGAAUGACAUGAUCUUGUUUAACACGUCCUAUAAAUUCACAUAAUUUGUACAUGAUUACGGGAAGAAACGUUAAACUCAAAAUGUUAGUACAUGAAGGUUUGACUAAUAGUCAAUUACCUCUCUUUUAAACCGAAAUCAAUGUUACCGGUAUUCAAUAGGGACAAUUUCGAAAAGAAACAACAUACCCUCCCCCUUCCCUCUUAACAAAAUAGCACACUUGACUGUUCUUUAAAUAUCUCGUAUGAUUUAACGUUAUGAUAGCAAGAUAGCAAUGGAAAGAUAAGUAACCUCUCCGGGCUGCACAACGAUGAUAUGUGGAGUAAAACCAA
RNAcentral lists this long non-coding RNA (345 nucleotides) under Helianthus annuus (common sunflower). RNAcentral's name for it is "sRNA HanXRQr2_Chr08g0327021". Lineage: Eukaryota; Viridiplantae; Streptophyta; Magnoliopsida; Asterales; Asteraceae. The record is from RNAcentral.